Molecule: non-coding RNA, 27 nt
Filed under: Rattus norvegicus (Norway rat)
Lineage: Eukaryota; Metazoa; Chordata; Mammalia; Rodentia; Muridae
Source: RNAcentral
UAGUGUUAGCUGAAACUUGAUAUGCCA